RNAcentral lists this ribosomal RNA (779 nucleotides) under Brachybacterium sp. T1-2_4-13. RNAcentral describes it as "bacterial SSU rRNA". It matches the Rfam family "Bacterial small subunit ribosomal RNA", at positions 86 to 877 of the family's 1533-position model. The record is from RNAcentral. Lineage: Bacteria; Bacillati; Actinomycetota; Actinomycetes; Micrococcales; Dermabacteraceae.
GCCUGAUUAGUGGCGAACGGGUGAGUAACACGUGAGUAACCUGCCCUCCACUUCGGGAUAACCUCGGGAAAUCGUGGCUAAUACCGGAUAUGAGCACUCAUCGCAUGGUGGGUGUUGGAAAGAUUUAUCGGUGGGGGAUGGACUCGCGGCCUAUCAGUUUGUUGGUGAGGUGAUGGCUCACCAAGACGAUGACGGGUAGCCGGCCUGAGAGGGCGACCGGCCACACUGGGACUGAGACACGGCCCAGACUCCUACGGGAGGCAGCAGUGGGGAAUAUUGCACAAUGGGCGAAAGCCUGAUGCAGCGACGCCGCGUGGGGGAUGACGGCCUUCGGGUUGUAAACCCCUUUCAGUAGGGAAGAAGCGAGAGUGACGGUACCUGCAGAAGAAGCGCCGGCUAACUACGUGCCAGCAGCCGCGGUAAUACGUAGGGCGCAAGCGUUGUCCGGAAUUAUUGGGCGUAAAGAGCUUGUAGGUGGCUUGUCGCGUCUGCCGUGAAAACCCGAGGCUCAACCUCGGGCGUGCGGUGGGUACGGGCAGGCUAGAGUGUGGUAGGGGAGACUGGAACUCCUGGUGUAGCGGUGAAAUGCGCAGAUAUCAGGAAGAACACCGAUGGCGAAGGCAGGUCUCUGGGCCAUUACUGACACUGAGAAGCGAAAGCAUGGGUAGCGAACAGGAUUAGAUACCCUGGUAGUCCAUGCCGUAAACGUUGGGCACUAGGUGUGGGGGACAUUCCACGUUUUCCGCGCCGUAGCUAACGCAUUAAGUGCCCCGCCUGGG